RNAcentral lists this ribosomal RNA (253 nucleotides) under uncultured bacterium. Its description in RNAcentral is "partial 16S ribosomal RNA". It matches the Rfam family "Bacterial small subunit ribosomal RNA", at positions 524 to 776 of the family's 1533-position model. The record is from RNAcentral.
UACGUAGGGGGCAAGCGUUGUCCGGAUUUAUUGGGCGUAAAGAGCGUGUAGGCGGCCAGGUAGGUCUGCUGUGAAAACUCGAGGCUUAACCUCGAGAUGUCGGCGGAAACCAUCUGGCUAGAGUCCGGGAGAGGAGAGUGGAAUUCCUGGUGUAGCGGUGAAAUGCGCAGAUAUCAGGAAGAACACCCGUGGCGAAAGCGGCUCUCUGGAACGGUACUGACGCUGAGACGCGAAAGCGUGGGGAGCGAACAGG